RNAcentral lists this long non-coding RNA (209 nucleotides) under Elaeis guineensis (African oil palm). RNAcentral's name for it is "long non-coding RNA (EGUI_LNC039405)". The record is from RNAcentral. Lineage: Eukaryota; Viridiplantae; Streptophyta; Magnoliopsida; Arecales; Arecaceae.
CCUCAUCUGAUAGUUAUUGAUGACAUACAAAUUAAUGAGUAGAUAACUCUUGUCCAAUACUUCUCAAGUAUGUUAUAGUAGUAAUCGAUCUUUAAGUUAUGUAGGCCUCACCUGAUAGUUAUUGGCCUCAUUCCUUAGUUAAGUCAGACCUACCAUUCAAUGUAGAUGUAAAGUCAUCAUUGGAUCGAUCCCUCAUUAGACCAUUAUUA